CCCACAUCCCCCGACAAAGCUCGGCAAUAGGGUUGCAAUAGGGUUGUCCUGCGUGCAUGGGUUCGUCGCUGCCGUGCCGCUCCAGAGGACAUCUUGCUCCCCUUGUUUUGGCGACGGGCUUUGUUCUCCCCAUAAUGGUGUGAUGGAUGGAAGGGAAGCACCGCUGUAUUUUAAACGCCCUGCGUCCGAUGCAUCGUUUUUUAAUCGUGUCAGAGUGACUGUAGGCACUGAUAAUUAAUCUGGAUGGAGUCAGCCAGGCGCCCUGAAACCUCGGCGCAGCCUGUCUCCAAGUGCAGCACUCAAGACUUGAGGCAGUGGGCUCAGGACACGACCAAUAUCCCCUGUGACAACACCAUCAGGAUGUGUUUCCUGGCUUGACCAUGUGUGAGCCCCACAGCCUCUCGCAGGGGAGAGAAGAGUUGAGAAGAGCAGAACAGUGCUGUCCCAGGACAGAGGACUGCCAGCACACCUGCCCUGGAGAAUGAAUUUAGAACAGGGCUUUUUCCUUGCAAAGGCUGUGGUGCAUCUCCUUGAUACAGUGAAUCCAUACUGAUGAAUGGGUGUCCGGAGCCCUUUCCCAGCCAGCCUGUGAAAAUUCCUGGACAACAUCAUGCUGUGAAGCUCCAGGUCUUUGCUGUCACAGGUCGGAGGAAUGCCAAGGUAUGAGGGAUGAGCUCUCACCAGACCCAAGCCAGCUUGAUCAGGCUCUGCUGGGGCCAGGCUCCUUGCUGACAACAGGAGGAUCUGGACCAGGGACCGUCUUUCAGAGGAGGCGAAUCCUUAACUUGAACUGCUUCCACGGUGGGCGGCCACGUCUGGCAGGCAUCAGGGGACCAGCCGCAGCCGCCCCCAGAAGCAGCAUGAGCCCCGGAGCCAGGCACAGCCCUCCCACGUCUCCUUUGUGCCUCAAGACGCCCGGCCCCGCACCCACCCCCCAAGGGCUGCUUUCCCUGUUGAUAAUCCAUUAUCUACAUUUAAUGCCUCGCUGACGUCCUUCCCUUUGUCUGAUGGUGAAACCUCGACCAGAUGUGAAGCUUCUUAUGUUACUAAUGGCAAAUCCUUUUGCAAUAGCUGGUUGGAAAAUGGGGAAACUGUUUUCAUGAAGUGAAAAUUGAAACAUUGGAGUAAUUUUCAUUCUGCAAGCCUCACAAAGGAGUGGUUUUUAUUUGAGGUCAUUUCUAUUUUUUUUUUCCAGAAAAAAAGCUGUAGCUCAGAAGAUGAGUUUGUGGUAGCGCUCUCACCACUGAACAUUUCUGCUGUCCCAGUGCAGUUCCUAUUACUCUCGUGUUCCACUUCUGAAAAAAAAUGAAGUGGGGGAAGGGAGGUGGCACAGCCCAGGUCUGCAGGCUGCCUGAUGCCUUGCUGGGGCAGCUUAAGGCUUGGGAUACAGCCUGCCCUGGGCAGAGCCAUGAUAGCUGGAGCAGCGAGUCCUUGCCCUGCUGACAACUUAAAGAGGGUCAGCCACAACCCCCCUAUAAAGCAGAGGUGGUAAGGUGUGGCUGAGGAUGGCUCAAUCGUUUGCUGCCUCUCUGAGCAGUGUCCCCAGUAAGCUAUGCAGUGGGAGCGCCUGGGUGAAGAGCAGAAAGCACCCCUUGGUGCAGCGCGUGUUGGUGGGAGAGCAGACAGGCAGCAGUACCCAAACAAAGCCCUCGAGGGUUUGCAGAUGGAGCCAUGGUGCUGCAGGCUAGGAUCUAAACUGAGACCCCCAGGCUACGGGCAUGCAGCUAACACAGCAUGCAGCCCCUUUCUGGAGAGCGACAGCACUAGCAGGGC
Long non-coding RNA from Gallus gallus (chicken), 1773 nucleotides. Lineage: Eukaryota; Metazoa; Chordata; Aves; Galliformes; Phasianidae. The record is from Ensembl.